Molecule: ribosomal RNA, 426 nt
Filed under: uncultured prokaryote
Description: bacterial SSU rRNA
Rfam family: Bacterial small subunit ribosomal RNA
Source: RNAcentral
UAGGGAAUUUUCGGCAAUGGGGGGAACCCUGACCGAGCAAUGCCGCGUGAACGAUGAAGGUCUUCGGAUUGUAAAGUUCUGUCAAUGGGGAAGAAUGGUCCGCGGAGUGGAAAGCCGCGGGCGUGACGGUACCCGUUAAGAAGCCCCGGCCAACUAUGUGCCAGCAGCCGCGGUAAUACAUAGGGGGCAAGCGUUACCCGGAUUUAUUGGGCGUAAAGCGUGCGUAGGCGGUUUAUUAGGUCAGGCGUAAAAGAUCACAGCUCAACUGUGUAGGGCGUUUGAAACCGGUAGACUUGAAUACGGUAGAGGCAGGUGGAAUUCCAUGUGUAGCGGUGGAAUGCGUAGAUAUUAGGAGGAACACCAGUGGCGAAGGCGGCCUGCUGGACAUUAACUGACGCUGAGGCGCGAAAGCGUGGGGAGCAAACA